CAGCCGCCACGGUAAUGCGUAGGUGGCAAGCGUUGUCCGGAAUUAUUGGGCGUAAAGCGCGCGCAGGCGGAUAGGUCAGUCUGUCUUAAAAGUUCGGGGCUUAACCCCGUGAUGGGAUGGAACCUGCCAAUCUAGAGUAUCGGAGAGGAAAGUGGAAUUCCUAGUGUAGCGGUGAAAUGCGUAGAUAUUAGGAAGAACACCAGUGGCGAAGGCGACUUUCUGGACGAAAACUGACGCUGAGGCGCGAAAGCCAGGGGAGCGAACGGGAUUAGAGACCCGCGUAGUCCCUGUCUCUUAUACC
This 301-nucleotide ribosomal RNA is filed under the name uncultured bacterium. Its description in RNAcentral is "partial 16S ribosomal RNA". It matches the Rfam family "Bacterial small subunit ribosomal RNA", at positions 509 to 808 of the family's 1533-position model. The record is from RNAcentral.